UAUCAGUCAGUCAGUCAGUCAGUCAGUCUCAGUCAGUCUAUCAGUCAGUCAGUCAGUCAGUCAGUCAGUAUAUCAGUCAGUCAGUCAGUCAGUCAGUCAGUCAGUCUAUCAGUCAGUCAGUCAGUAUAUCAGUCAGUCAGUCAGUCUAUCAGUCAGUCAGUCUAUCAGUCAGUCAGUCAGUCUAUCAGUCAGUCAGUCAGUAUAUCAAUCAGUCAGUCAGUAUAUCAGUCAGUCAGUCAGUAUAUCAGUCAGUCAGUCAGUCUAUCAGUCAGUCAGUCAGUCAGUCAGUCAGUCUAUCAGUCAGUCAGUCAAUCAGUCAGUCAGUCAGUAUAUCAGUCAGUCAGUCAG
This is a non-coding RNA of Pelobates cultripes (western spadefoot toad), 348 nucleotides long. The record is from the annotation of a GenBank genome assembly. NCBI's taxonomy places the organism in Eukaryota, Metazoa, Chordata, Amphibia, Anura, Pelobatidae.